Molecule: long non-coding RNA, 243 nt
Organism: Anopheles funestus (African malaria mosquito)
Lineage: Eukaryota; Metazoa; Arthropoda; Insecta; Diptera; Culicidae
Exons: 2
Source: RefSeq, a predicted model, not a curated record
AAAAUAAUCUAUAUAUAUAAAAUUCUCGUGUCGCGGUGUUAGUGUGCAAACUCCUCUUAAACGGCUGAACCGAUUUGUAUGAAAUUUUCGCUGAACGUUCGUUAGGUAUGAGAAUAGGUUUAGCGCUAUAGUUCGUUUCGCUAGGUGGCCUCUGGCCAAUAUUAUGAGUUCUUUUCUGUUUUUCCUACGGGAGUUAUCAAGUAGGCAUAGCCAUUUUUUCAACACGAAUAAAGUUGAACACUA